This is a long non-coding RNA of Oncorhynchus keta (chum salmon), 1146 nucleotides long. RefSeq lists it as uncharacterized. The transcript has 6 exons. Lineage: Eukaryota; Metazoa; Chordata; Actinopteri; Salmoniformes; Salmonidae. The record is from RefSeq and is a predicted model, not a curated record.
UGAUAACAGAGGUCUUCUGGUCUCUGGUCUACCAGCAUCGGUCUCUGAUGGUAGAGAUGUCUGGGUCGGCCUGUCCUGGGAUGUUACAUUGAUAACAGAGGUCUUCUGGUCUCUGGUCUACCAGCAUCGGUCUCUGAUGGUAGAGAUGUCUGGGUCGGCCUGUCCUGGGACUUCACAUUGAUAACAGAGGUCUUCUGGUCUACCAGCAUCGGUCUCUGAUGGUAGAGAUGUCUGGGUCGGCCUGUCCUGGGAUGUUACAUUGAUAACAGAGGUCUUCUGGUCUCUGGUCUACCAGCAUCGGUCUCUGAUGGUAGAGAUGUCUGGGUCUGCCUGUCCUGGGAUGUUACAUUGAUAACAGAGGUCUUCUGGUCUCUGGUCUACCAGCAUCGGUCUCUGAUGGUAGAGAUGUCUGGGUCUGCCUGUCCUGGGAUGUUACAUUGAUAACAGAGGUCUUCUGGUCUCUGGUCUACCAGCAUCGGUCUCUGAUGGUAGAGAUGUCUGGGUCUGCCUGUCCUGGGAUGUUACAUUGAUAACAGAGGUCUUCUGGUCUCUGGUCUACCAGCAUCGGUCUCUGAUGGUAGAGAUGUCUGGGUCGGCCUGUCCUGGGACUUCACAUUGAUAACAGAGGUCUUCUGGUCUACCAGCAUCGGUCUCUGAUGGUAGAGAUGUCUGGGUCGGCCUGUCCUGGGAUGUUACAUUGAUAACAGAGGUCUUCUGGUCUCUGGUCUACCAGCAUCGGUCUCUGAUGGUAGAGAUGUCUGGGUCGGCCUGUCCUGGGAUGUUACAUUGAUAACAGAGGUCUUCUGGUCUCUGGUCUACCAGCAUCGGUCUCUGAUGGUAGAGAUGUCUGGGUCGGCCUGUCCUGGGACUUUACAUUGAUAACAGAGGUCUUCUGGUCUCUGGUCUACCAGCAUCGGUCUCUGAUGGUAGAGAUGUCUGGGUCGGCCUGUCCUGGGACUUUACAUUGAUAACAGAGGUCUUCUGGUCUCUGGUCUACCAGCAUCGGUCUCUGAUGGUAGAGAUGUCUGGGUCGGCCUGUCCUGGGACUUCACAUUGAUAACAGAGGUCUUCUGGUCUCUGGUCUACCAGCAUCGGUCUCUGAUGGUAGAGAUGUCUGGGUCGGCCUGUCCUGGGACUUUACAUUGA